UAACUAGCGACAUUCUCGGGGACAUAUC
RNAcentral lists this non-coding RNA (28 nucleotides) under Mus musculus (house mouse). Lineage: Eukaryota; Metazoa; Chordata; Mammalia; Rodentia; Muridae. The record is from RNAcentral.